This 483-nucleotide ribosomal RNA is filed under the name bacterium 5a.1. Its description in RNAcentral is "bacterial SSU rRNA". It matches the Rfam family "Bacterial small subunit ribosomal RNA", at positions 389 to 865 of the family's 1533-position model. The record is from RNAcentral.
CAGCCAUGCCGCGUGCAGGAUGAAGGCCUUCGGGUUGUAAACUGCUUUUGUACGGAACGAAACGGCCUUUUCUAAUAAAGAGGGCUAAUGACGGUACCGUAAGAAUAAGCACCGGCUAACUACGUGCCAGCAGCCGCGGUAAUACGUAGGGUGCAAGCGUUAAUCGGAAUUACUGGGCGUAAAGCGUGCGCAGGCGGUUAUGUAAGACAGUUGUGAAAUCCCCGGGCUCAACCUGGGAACUGCAUCUGUGACUGCAUAGCUAGAGUACGGUAGAGGGGGAUGGAAUUCCGCGUGUAGCAGUGAAAUGCGUAGAUAUGCGGAGGAACACCGAUGGCGAAGGCAAUCCCCUGGACCUGUACUGACGCUCAUGCACGAAAGCGUGGGGAGCAAACAGGAUUAGAUACCCUGGUAGUCCACGCCCUAAACGAUGUCAACUGGUUGUUGGGUCUUCACUGACUCAGUAACGAAGCUAACGCGUGAAGU